This 432-nucleotide ribosomal RNA is filed under the name uncultured bacterium. RNAcentral's name for it is "partial 16S ribosomal RNA". It matches the Rfam family "Bacterial small subunit ribosomal RNA", at positions 29 to 507 of the family's 1533-position model. The record is from RNAcentral.
GCGAACGCUGGCGGCAGGCCUAACCCAUGCCAGUCGAACGGAUCCUUCGGGAUUAGUGGCGGACGGGUGAGUAACACGUGGGAACGUGCCCUUUGGUUCGGAACAACUCAGGGAAACUUGAGCUAAUACCGGAUGUGCCCUUCGGGGGAAAGAUUUAUCGCCAUUGGAGCGGCCCGCGUCUGAUUAGCUAGUUGGUGAGGUAACGGCCCACCAAGGCGACGAUCAGUAGCUGGUCUGAGAGGAUGAUCAGCCACACUGGGACUGAGACACGGCCCAGACUCCUACGGGAGGCAGCAGUGGGGAAUCUUGCGCAAUGGGCGAAAGCCUGACGCAGCCAUGCCGCGUGAAUGAUGAAGGUCUUAGGAUUGUAAAAUUCUUUCAGCGGGGACGAUAAUGACGGUACCCGCAGAAGAAGCUCCGGCUAACUUCGUG